UCAGUACUUGGUAAUAUGAGCGAGAAACACCUUACAGUCAGCUCUGUUCACCAAACACUUGGUUCCAGGAGCCAGAGGCACAGGGAUGAAUAAAGCAUGGGCUCUGUGCCCCAGGGGCUGACAGCGAUGUGAGCAGACAGGUAAACAGGUAAUUUUAGGGUGAGAGCUGGGAGACAAGAAAAAAGUUGUUCACAGCUCAGCUUGGGAAGGUGGCUGGCACAAACCAGAGUUUGCUGACUCCUUCCUUUUCUAGAGAGAGAAGAGCCGAGUGCAGAACACAAGGCCAACAAGGACCACUUGAGAGGCAGCUUCUCAGUGAUGCUGGGUUUGGCCACACGGUCUGCUUUGGAAAUGUGGAUAGUGACAAUGUGACAGUUCUGGGUCAAGGCCAUCUGAGGCAUCCUGUGUUUCAUCUUGCUCUGUAUUCCUGGGCUCUCUUCUGAGAAGAGUAGGCCCUAAGUAGCCGCUGGUCCAGAGGGAAUGAAGCCUGGGAAGCACACCUGAGGCCAAUCCUGGCCACAUCGGGCC
Herpailurus yagouaroundi (jaguarundi) is the source of this 528-nucleotide long non-coding RNA. RefSeq lists it as uncharacterized. The record is from RefSeq and is a predicted model, not a curated record. NCBI's taxonomy places the organism in Eukaryota, Metazoa, Chordata, Mammalia, Carnivora, Felidae. The transcript has 3 exons.